This 222-nucleotide unclassified non-coding RNA is filed under the name Hevea brasiliensis (rubber tree). Lineage: Eukaryota; Viridiplantae; Streptophyta; Magnoliopsida; Malpighiales; Euphorbiaceae. The record is from RNAcentral.
AUAGUAAGAGAAAUACGCCCCGUCUCAGUGUUUACUUCAACUAAUCUCACUGUCACCUCUUGGCCGAGAGAUACAACACUUCCAACAUCCUUAACAAAGCUAUCACUNNNNNNGGAAACAUGUACUAGACCAUCUGUGAAAGCUCCAAAAUCAACAAAAGCACCAAAUGGUUGGAUUGAUCUCACUUUCCCAGUAAAUGUUGCACCAGGAAUAAGGUCCUCA